RNAcentral lists this transfer RNA (72 nucleotides) under Bos indicus (zebu cattle). It matches the Rfam family "tRNA". From Rfam's summary of the family: Transfer RNA (tRNA) molecules are approximately 80 nucleotides in length. Lineage: Eukaryota; Metazoa; Chordata; Mammalia; Artiodactyla; Bovidae. The record is from Rfam by way of RNAcentral. RNAcentral also lists the same sequence under 4 other names.
UCCUCCUUAGUAUAGUGGUGAAUAUCCCUGCUUGUCACACAGGAGACCAGGGUUUGAUUCCCUGACGGGGAG